UGGUGGAAGCGAGGGGGAUCGAACCCCUGUCCAAAAACAAAACAACCGCAGCCUCUACAUGUUUAGCAAAAGUGAAAGUUUCAUCUAGCAAGGCUCACUUUCCAAAACCAAAAGCUAGACUAAGACAAGGUUUCGACUCUCAGCUCGUCAAACUGCUAGCCUACACUAUCUGGAUUACUCGCGGACUCUUUUAGAUAGUAUCAAAAAGCGCAAGGCUCAACUGAACUUACGCAGCUUUAGCGUAAGCAGGAGCGAAAUUAACGUUAUUUGCGUUUAAAUUUAAUUUGAGCUUUUUACGCUUUGCUCAAAGCGACAUGCCACCACGACCAUCCUGCUCCUGUCGAAGCCAAGUCGCUCCC
This 359-nucleotide non-coding RNA is filed under the name Campylobacter californiensis. The record is from RNAcentral. Lineage: Bacteria; Pseudomonadati; Campylobacterota; Epsilonproteobacteria; Campylobacterales; Campylobacteraceae.